CGAGCUCAGAGUCCGAAACCCUUAGCCAUUUACCCGUCAAGACUGCUGCGGAGCACACCAUUUUCUUUGAGAUCAUCAUCAAAACUAACAUCGUUCUUCAUAACAUGGACAUCGUAAACGGUAAGUAAAACAAAACCUAUUAUUGUAUUUUUAAAGGUGUUAUGUUAACAUAUUAUAGGAUAUUUAAACUAUUUUUUUCCUAAAACAAAAGCUUAAUUUUUAGGAGUUCGGGAGAACGGCACAGGACCCUUUUUCUUUAGAAAGCAGGGCGCUUUUACAGCUGGAACUAGUUCUCUAACAGGCACAAGGGUUAACAAACUGAGCAGGAAAACAUUCAGACGCCCUGACCACAGAGCCCAACCUUACAUCAGAGCCACGCCAGAGAACCGUAUGUGUGGAGAACCAGGGCCGUCCGG
This is a long non-coding RNA of Oreochromis aureus, 416 nucleotides long. The record is from Ensembl. Lineage: Eukaryota; Metazoa; Chordata; Actinopteri; Cichliformes; Cichlidae.